CUACAUUGGGGGUAGAGUGACUUAGAGUUUCUUGAACUCCGACUCCUCUUCGGAGUUUUUAGUGAAUUGCUCUUCGUUGUCCUUUCGGUUCUGGACGAUUAGUUCACACAUAGUGUUCUAAACCCUAAGGGUCACCAUCCCGAUAACGUCGAACGUAAUAUAUCUCCACAGAAGACGUAACCUCUAGUAAACUUCAACUUUCUUGACCACAAAAACUGGCACAAUAAGUUUGCUAUCCGAGACGAUAUCUCCAGGUCCUGUUAUUGCUGUUCAAUCGCAUAACCGAGAGGAUAAGUAGGUGUAAUGAGGAUGAAGAUGUUGCCUGUGACUUUUGUUGACCUCGUCGACCUGAGUGAGGAGUCUCCGCUUCCAGUUGACGAUGUAGAAAACCCUCCAAAAAAAGC
This 404-nucleotide ribosomal RNA is filed under the name Triticum aestivum (bread wheat). RNAcentral's name for it is "partial small subunit ribosomal RNA". Lineage: Eukaryota; Viridiplantae; Streptophyta; Magnoliopsida; Poales; Poaceae. The record is from RNAcentral.